UACGGAGGGUGCGAGCGUUGUUCGGAAUUACUGGGCGUAAAGGGCUCGUAGGCGGCCAACUAAGUCAUACGUGAAAUCCCUCAGCUUAACUGGGGAACUGCGUGUGAUACUGGAUGGCUUGGAUGUGGGAGAGGGAUGCGGAAUUCCAGGUGUAGCGGUGAAAUGCGUAGAUAUCUGGAGGAACACCGGUGGCGAAGGCGGCAUCCUGGACCAUUAUUGACGCUGAGGAGCGAAAGCCAGGGGAGCAAACGGG
RNAcentral lists this ribosomal RNA (253 nucleotides) under uncultured bacterium. Its description in RNAcentral is "partial 16S ribosomal RNA". It matches the Rfam family "Bacterial small subunit ribosomal RNA", at positions 524 to 776 of the family's 1533-position model. The record is from RNAcentral.